GGGGGUAUAGCUCAGUGGUAGAGCACAAGCUUAGCAUGCAGGAGGUUCAAUCCCAGUAUCUCCA
Molecule: transfer RNA, 64 nt
Filed under: Camelus bactrianus (Bactrian camel)
Lineage: Eukaryota; Metazoa; Chordata; Mammalia; Artiodactyla; Camelidae
Also listed under: 3 other names
Rfam family: tRNA
About the family: Transfer RNA (tRNA) molecules are approximately 80 nucleotides in length. Their secondary structure includes four short double-helical elements and three loops (D, anti-codon, and T loops).
Source: Rfam by way of RNAcentral